CAGGUGCUGGAUUUUGGGUGAGCUGGAGAUUUCAGCAGAGACAUGGUGGCCAGCGGAUAUGGUCCAAAUCUCAUUGUUCAGUUUAUACAUAUAUGGAACUGAUAAGGGAACUUUCUUAGGAGGAGAAGCUGUGUUGUAGCUGCUCGGUGGGGUUCAAGGCCUUUGAGAGAAAAGAUCAAAGUGGUUAGUAUACCAGGGUGCCAAUGUAUUACAAUGUGAGAUUUGUGUUUCUGGUCUGGCUUCAAUUUCACUCGAAUGAUGUAAUUGUCAAUAUACGGGAACCAUCUGCAUCCCUUUCUUAUGAGACACCAAUCUAGAGUGAAUAUGCUUAUAGGUGUUGCAUAGGACGAAAUGGUUUAUGAUAUUUUACUCUUAUAAUGCAUCGAUAGUUAUAGAAACUGCGAAUACAUGACAGUCAUAUCAUAUGUCCAUUUUGAAAUAAUAUUAUAUUCUACGAUCAAUUCAAUCGUAUCCACGUUAAUAUUUAUUAUGUUAGGCUGAGAAAUUGUAUUCGAGGUCAUUGGCUCAUUGUUUCCUAUGUUACUUUUUGUUGAUUAAAUGCAGUCAGUAUAGAGCCAGAAUUGAAAUUCAUUGUGGUCAUUGACUAUGCAAAGACUAUACCCUUGAAGAUUAUAGAGCCAGGUACAUGUCCUGUGUGCAAAUU
Molecule: RNA transcript, 664 nt
Organism: Mercurialis annua (annual mercury)
Lineage: Eukaryota; Viridiplantae; Streptophyta; Magnoliopsida; Malpighiales; Euphorbiaceae
Exons: 5
Source: RefSeq, a predicted model, not a curated record